RNAcentral lists this ribosomal RNA (568 nucleotides) under uncultured soil bacterium. Its description in RNAcentral is "bacterial SSU rRNA". It matches the Rfam family "Bacterial small subunit ribosomal RNA", at positions 8 to 496 of the family's 1533-position model. The record is from RNAcentral.
AGAGUUUGAUCCUGGCUCAGAACGAACGCUGGCGGCGUGCUUAACACAUGCAAGUCGAACGCGAAAGCCUGGGCAACUGGGCAAGUAGAGUGGCGCACGGGUGAGUAACACGUGGGUAACCUACCUUCGAGUGGGGAAUAACUCCUCGAAAGGGGAGCUAAUACCGCAUAAGACCACGGCCACUUCGGGGGUCGCGAUCAAAGGUGGCCUCAUUAAGCAGAGUGUUUGGGACGAUCUUCCCGAGUGGAGGAUAGCCCUUAGCGCUUUGUAGAGUGAAGCUGCUGCUCGAAGAGGGGCCCGCGUCCCAUCAGCUAGUUGGUAGGGUAACGGCCUACCAAGGCGACGACGGGUAGCUGGUCUGAGAGGACGACCAGCCACACGGGAAUUGAGAUACGGUCCCGACUCCUACGGGAGGCAGCAGUGGGGAAUCUUGGGCAAUGGGGGAAACCCUGACCCAGCGACGCCGCGUGGGGGAUGAAGGCUUUCGGGUCGUAAACCCCUGUUAGGUGGGACGAACGUCCUCCAGCAAAUAGCUGGGGGAUUGACGGUACCACCAGAGAAGCCCCGU